This 1803-nucleotide ribosomal RNA is filed under the name Triticum aestivum (bread wheat). RNAcentral describes it as "partial small subunit ribosomal RNA". The record is from RNAcentral. Lineage: Eukaryota; Viridiplantae; Streptophyta; Magnoliopsida; Poales; Poaceae.
AUGAAGUACAUGAAGCUUGGGUCAAAGCCUGACACAUUCUACACCGAACAAGCCGUUAGGUCAGUAGUGUCAGACAUACCUGCUGAUCUUAUCAUACAUGUCAACAAUACAAAGUAUCAACUGCACAAGUUCCCCCUGCUGCUCAAGUGCGGCCUCCUGCAGCGCCUCUGCUCCGACACAGAGGCCGACGAGCAGCUGCCGGUGCCGGUGGCGCUCCACGACAUCCCGGGCGGCGAGGAGGCCUUCGAGAUCUGCGCCAAGUUCUGCUACGGCAUCGCCAUCAGCAUCAGCGCCAGCAACUUCGUGCUGGCGACGCUGGCAGCCCGAUUCCUCCGGAUGACGGAGCACGUCGCCAAGGCGAACCUCGUCUCCAAGCUCGACACCUUCUUCGAGUCCUGCGUCCUCCACGGGUGGAGGGACUCCAUCGCCGCGCUGCAGGCGGCGUGGCGGAUCUCCGGCUGGUCCGAGAGCCGCAUCGUCCAGCCAUGCGUCGACUCCAUUGUCGAGAAGAUCCUCCUCCCGCCCUCCCAGGUUUGUUGGCAGGCCGCUGUCGAUUUCCGGCGGUUCAUUUGGCGCCAAGAUUUGAAUAGUUUGUUUUUCUGUGUGCAGGUCGCGUGGUCGUACACGUACACGAGGCCGGGGUACGCCAAGAGGCCCCACCAGUCGGUGCCCAAGGACUGGUGGACGGAGGACAUCUCCGAGCUGGACAUCGAGGUGUUCCGCUCGGUCGUCUCCACCGUGCGCGCCACGCGCAUGCUCCCGUCGCCGCUCAUCGGCGAGGCCCUGCACGUCUACGCCUGCAAGCACCUCCCGGACCCGCUCUACACCGGCGGAAGCGCCAACGGCCACGCGUCUCAGAGUCAGAGCUCCUCCUUCACGGCGGCGGCGGCGGCGGCUGAGGAGGCGCUCGCCAAGCAGAGGCGCGUGCUGGAGACCGUCGUCACCAUGAUCCCCGGUGACGUGGGGUCGGUCACGGGACGGUUCCUCCUCCGGCUGCUGCGUGUGGCCAACUACGUCGGCGCGUCCUCGUCGACGCGCGCGCAGCUCAUCCGGCAGGCCGGGUCCCAGCUCGACGAGGCCAAGGCGGUGGACCUGCUCAUCCCGCUGCCGUCGGACGCGCAGGCGUACGACGUCGGCGCGGCGGAGGCCGUGCUGGAGCACUUCUUGGCGCAGUUCCAGCGGCCGGCCGCUCCCGACGAGCGCCGGAGGAUGAGCGUCGCCAUGGAGAAGGUGGUCAGAAUCUUCGACGAAUACCUUAAGACGAUCGCCCUCGACAGUGAGUUUCCCAUCGGCAAGUUCAUCGACCUGGCCGAGUGCCUGCCCGGCAUCGCCCGGAGCGACCACGACGGUCUCUACCGCGCCGUCGACACCUACCUCAAGGAACACCCGGACCUGAGCAAGGCGGACAGGAAGCGGCUGUGCCGGUUGAUCGACUGCCGGAAGCUAUCGCCGGACGUGCGGGCUCAGGCGGUAUCCAAUGAUCGGAUGCCGUUGCGGACCAUCGUGCAGCUUCUAUUCGUUGAGCAGGAGAGAACAAUCGGCGCGGGCGGCAGCCAUAGCGUCGCGCCACCGGACCGGGCCUCAGUCGAUGCCGUCUCCAGGCUCACGGCAACAGGCAGAGAGGACGAAGCGGCGGCCAUGGACCACAGGUCGGAUGUGCACCGGCCACGGCGGGCAGGCCAUGAAGAGCGCGCCCAGGGCGACGCGGCUGCAAUGACGAGGUCGCUAUCGGCGUCGACGAAGACGGCGGCGAGGAAGGACAGGGCGGUGGAAGAGAGGGGGAGCAGGCUGAGGAACAAGUGA